CCUACGGGUGGCAGCAGUGAGGAAUAUUGGUCAAUGGCCGGGAGGCUGAACCAGCCAAGUCGCGUGAGGGAAGACGGCCCUACGGGUUGUAAACCUCUUUUGUCAGGGAGCAAGGUGCAGGUCGGGACCUGCUGUGAGAGUACCUGAAGAAAAAGCAUCGGCUAACUCCGUGCCAGCAGCCGCGGUAAUACGGAGGAUGCGAGCGUUAUCCGGAUUUAUUGGGUUUAAAGAGUUGCGUAGGUGGCAUAAUAAGUAGCUAGUGAAAUCUGGUGGCUCAACCAUUCAGACUAUUAGCUAAACUGUUAAGCUCGAGACCGUUAGGGGGAACUGGAAUUUCUAGUGUAGGAGUGAAAUCCGUAGAUAUUAGAAGGAACACCAAUAGCGUAGGCAGGUUACUGGGACGGUUCUGACACUAAGGCACGAAAGCGUAGGGAGCAAACGGGAUUAGAUACCCUUGUAGUC
This 462-nucleotide ribosomal RNA is filed under the name uncultured bacterium. RNAcentral's name for it is "partial 16S ribosomal RNA". It matches the Rfam family "Bacterial small subunit ribosomal RNA", at positions 338 to 795 of the family's 1533-position model. The record is from RNAcentral.